Molecule: ribosomal RNA, 447 nt
Filed under: Mantidactylus melanopleura
Lineage: Eukaryota; Metazoa; Chordata; Amphibia; Anura; Mantellidae
Description: partial 16S ribosomal RNA
Rfam family: Bacterial large subunit ribosomal RNA
Source: RNAcentral
GUGACAAAGUUCAACGGCCACGGUAUCCUAACCGUGCGAAGGUAUCAUAAUCACUUGUUCUUUAAAUGGGGACUUGUAUCAACGGCACCACGAGGGUUAGACUGUCUCCUUUUUCAAAUCAGUGAAAUUAAUCUCCCCGUGAAGAAGCGGGGAUACUCAUAUAAGACGAGAAGACCCCAUGGAGCUUCAAACCCAACUACACCCCUAGCUCUUAUAGCCCCACAACCCCCCUAGGCACCGUGUGCUUGGUUUUAGGUUGGGGCGACCGCGGAGUACAAUAAAACCUCCACAAUGAAUGGGAACACCCCCUUAUCUGAGGGCCACACCCCCUAAGAAUUAGAACACUAACAUAAAAUGAUCCAUUAUUUGAUCAAUGAACCAAGUUACCCUGGGGAUAACAGCGCAAUCCAUUUCAAGAGCCCCUAUCGACAAAUGGGUUUACGACCU